RNAcentral lists this transfer RNA (68 nucleotides) under Pseudadimonia sp. BMNH 846586. RNAcentral's name for it is "tRNA-Ser". Lineage: Eukaryota; Metazoa; Arthropoda; Insecta; Coleoptera; Chrysomelidae. The record is from RNAcentral.
AGUUAAUGAACUUGAAUAAGUUUAUAUUUUGAAAAUAUAAAAAAGAAACUUAAAUUUUCUAUUAACUU